Poecilia reticulata (guppy) is the source of this 295-nucleotide non-coding RNA. The record is from RefSeq and is a predicted model, not a curated record. NCBI's taxonomy places the organism in Eukaryota, Metazoa, Chordata, Actinopteri, Cyprinodontiformes, Poeciliidae.
UCUUAUCAGGUUGGUCUUUAUUUAUAGCAGGACUUUGACUGGACAACGUAGCAAAAUACACACUGACUUCAUCCUGAACGCAGCUGAUUUGGGCUCUCUCCAGGAAAUAUGGCGGCUGAAAAGGGGAGGACUUCUCAGCUCAUUUCAGAUUUUCUUUUCCAGCCUUGGAAUAAAGUUACUGCAGCUCAUAAUACUCUGGUUCAUGCUGUUUCCCAGUGGAAAAGCAGGACUGAAAGGUUCUGGUUGUUCAUAAAAAUGACUCCUGGUCGAGUCGUCCAUCGAUGUAAGAGCAAAG